RNAcentral lists this ribosomal RNA (294 nucleotides) under uncultured bacterium. Its description in RNAcentral is "partial 16S ribosomal RNA". It matches the Rfam family "Bacterial small subunit ribosomal RNA", at positions 1074 to 1382 of the family's 1533-position model. The record is from RNAcentral.
CAUGGGUAGUCCGCACGAGCGCACCCUCAUUUUUAGUUGCCUUAUGGAACUCUAGAAAGACUGCCGGUUAUAAACCGGAGGAAGGCGGGGAUGACGUCAAGUCAGCAUGCCCCUUACACCCUGGGCUACACACGUGCUACAAUGGGUGAGACAAUGAGAUGCAACUCUGUGAAGAUAAGCUAAUCUAUAAACUCAUUCUAAGUUCGGAUUGUAGGCUGCAACUCGCCUACAUGAAGUUGGAAUCGCUAGUAAUCGCUGGUCAGCUACACAGCGGUGAAUUCGUUCCCGGGCCUU